GGAGAGGUACCCAAGCUGGCUGAAGGGGACGGUUUGCUAAACCGUUAGACGGUUAACACCCGUGCGGGGGUUCGAAUCCCCCCCUCUCCGCCA
This 93-nucleotide transfer RNA is filed under the name Bacillota bacterium. RNAcentral's name for it is "Firmicutes bacterium (anaerobic digester metagenome) tRNA-Ser". It matches the Rfam family "tRNA". Rfam says of the family: Transfer RNA (tRNA) molecules are approximately 80 nucleotides in length. Their secondary structure includes four short double-helical elements and three loops (D, anti-codon, and T loops). The record is from RNAcentral. Lineage: Bacteria; Bacillati; Bacillota.